CUACACGGGUAUCUAAUCCCGUUCGCUCCCCUGGCUUUCGCGUCUCAGCGUCAGAAAAGGUCCAGGGCCUCGCUUUCGCCACGGGCGUUCCUUCCGAUCUCAACGCAUUUCACCGCUCCACCGGAAGUUCCAGGCCCCCCUACCUCACUCCAGACCGGCCGUAUCUGUGCCCAUUCCCCGGUUGAGCCGGGGGAUUUCAACACCAGACGUGCCCAUCCGCCUACACGCGCUUUAAGCCCAGUGAUUCCGAAUAACGUUCGCACGGUUCGUCUUACCGCGGCUGCUGGCAC
RNAcentral lists this ribosomal RNA (290 nucleotides) under uncultured Planctomycetaceae bacterium. RNAcentral's name for it is "partial 16S ribosomal RNA". Lineage: Bacteria; Pseudomonadati; Planctomycetota; Planctomycetia; Planctomycetales; Planctomycetaceae. The record is from RNAcentral.